RNAcentral lists this ribosomal RNA (249 nucleotides) under uncultured Sediminibacterium sp. Its description in RNAcentral is "partial 16S ribosomal RNA". It matches the Rfam family "Bacterial small subunit ribosomal RNA", at positions 355 to 601 of the family's 1533-position model. The record is from RNAcentral. Lineage: Bacteria; Pseudomonadati; Bacteroidota; Chitinophagia; Chitinophagales; Chitinophagaceae.
UAAGGAAUAUUGGACAAUGGGCGCAAGCCUGAUCCAGCCAUGCCGCGUGAAGGAUUAAGGUCCUCUGGAUUGUAAACUUCUUUUAUAAGGGACGAAAAAAGGGAAUUCUUUCUCACUUGACGGUACCUUAUGAAUAAGCACCGGCUAACUCUGUGCCAGCAGCCGCGGUAAUACAGAGGGUGCAAGCGUUAAUCGGAAUUACUGGGCGUAAAGGGCGCGUAGGUGGUUGUUUAAGUGAGAUGUGAAAUC